UAUUGGGCAAUGGGCGCAAGCCUGACCCAGCAACGCCGCGUGAUCGAAUGAAGGCCUUCGGGUUGUAAAGAUCUGUUGGCAGGGACGAAUAAGCAAUGCGAAUAGUUUUGUGUAUGACGGUACCUGUUUAGAAAGCUCCGGCUAUCUACGUGCCAGCAGCCGCGGUAAUACGUAGGGAGCAAGCGUUGUCCGGAAUUACUGGGCGUAAAGGGCGCGUAGGUGGGCGCUUAAGUCAGGUGUGAAAACUCCGGGCUCAACCUGGAGACUGCACUUGAAACUGGGUGUCUUGAGGGCAGGAGAGGAAAGUGGAAUUCCUAGUGUAGCGGUGAAAUGCGUAGAUAUUAGGAGGAACACCAGUGGCGAAGGCGACUUUCUGGACUGUACCUGACGCUGAGGCGCGAAAGCGUGGGUAGCGAACGGG
Molecule: ribosomal RNA, 421 nt
Filed under: uncultured bacterium
Lineage: Bacteria
Description: bacterial SSU rRNA
Rfam family: Bacterial small subunit ribosomal RNA
Source: RNAcentral